CCUCUCUCAGGAUUGCAACUGGAGAGUUUCCAAUACUCUACCAGCCUCGGCUAUGGGAGGGAGAGUCAAGCAGAGGCCUGCCCAUUCCUUUCCUAGCUUGGGCCGUGGCUAGCGAGUGGAAGACCGUCCGCUACAAGU
This is a small nucleolar RNA of Tachyglossus aculeatus (Australian echidna), 138 nucleotides long. NCBI's taxonomy places the organism in Eukaryota, Metazoa, Chordata, Mammalia, Monotremata, Tachyglossidae. The record is from RefSeq and is a predicted model, not a curated record.